This 496-nucleotide ribosomal RNA is filed under the name uncultured bacterium. Its description in RNAcentral is "partial 16S ribosomal RNA". It matches the Rfam family "Bacterial small subunit ribosomal RNA", at positions 29 to 507 of the family's 1533-position model. The record is from RNAcentral.
AUGAACGCUGGCGGCGUGCCUAAUCCAUGCAAGUCGCGCGAACGGACGAGAAGCUUGCUUCUCUGAUGUUAGCGGCGGACGGGUGAGUAACACGUGGAUAACCUACCUAUAAGACUGGGAUAACUUCGGGAAACCGUAGCUAAUACCGGAUAAUAUUUUGAACCGCAUGGUUCAAAAGUGAAAGACGGUCUUGCUGUCACUUAUAGAUGGAUCCGCGCUGCAUUAGCUAGUUGGUAAGGUAACGGCUUACCAAGGCAACGAUGCAUAGCCGACCUGAGAGGGUGAUCGGCCACACUGGAACUGAGACACGGUCCAGACUCCUACGGGAGGCAGCAGUAGGGAAUCUUCCGCAAUGGGCGAAAGCCUGACGGAGCAACGCCGCGUGAGUGAUGAAGGUCUUCGGAUCGUAAAACUCUGUUAUUAGGGAAGAACAUAUGUGUAAGUAACUGUGCACAUCUUGACGGUACCUGAUCAGAAAGCCACGGCUAACUACGUG